CGGGACGGUGAGUAAUGUCUGGGAAACUGCCUGAUGGAGGGGGAUAACUACUGGAAACGGUAGCUAAUACCGCAUAACGUCGCAAGACCAAAGAGGGGGACCUUCGGGCCUCUUGCCAUCGGAUGUGCCCAGAUGGGAUUAGCUAGUAGGUGGGGUAACGGCUCACCUAGGCGACGAUCCCUAGCUGGUCUGAGAGGAUGACCAGCCACACUGGAACUGAGACACGGUCCAG
This 232-nucleotide ribosomal RNA is filed under the name uncultured bacterium. RNAcentral describes it as "partial 16S ribosomal RNA". It matches the Rfam family "Bacterial small subunit ribosomal RNA", at positions 105 to 334 of the family's 1533-position model. The record is from RNAcentral.